Molecule: ribosomal RNA, 861 nt
Filed under: Podaxis rugospora
Lineage: Eukaryota; Fungi; Basidiomycota; Agaricomycetes; Agaricales; Agaricaceae
Description: eukaryotic LSU rRNA
Rfam family: Eukaryotic large subunit ribosomal RNA
Source: RNAcentral
UAGUAACUGCGAGUGAAGCGGGAAAAGCUCAAAUUUAAAAUCUGGCGGUCUCUGGCCGUCCGAGUUGUAAUCUAGAGAAGUGUUACCCGCGCUGGACCGUGUACAAGUCCCCUGGAAUGGGGCGUCAUAGAGGGUGAGAAUCCCGUCUCUGACACGGACUACCAGGGCUUUGUGGUAUGCUCUCAAAGAGUCGAGUUGUUUGGGAAUGCAGCUCAAAAUGGGUGGUAAAUUCCAUCUAAAGCUAAAUAUUGGCGAGAGACCGAUAGCGAACAAGUACCGUGAGGGAAAGAUGAAAAGAACUUUGGAAAGAGAGUUAAACAGUACGUGAAAUUGCUGAAAGGGAAACGCUUGAAGUCAGUCGCGUUGGCCGGGAAUCAGCCUCGCUUUUGCGUGGUGUACUUUCUGGUUGACGGGUCAGCAUCAAUUUUGACCGCUGGAAAAAGGCUUGGGGAAUGUGGCAGCUCCGGCUGUGUUAUAGCCCCUUGUCACAUACAGCGGUUGGGAUUGAGGAACUCAGCACGCCGCAAGGCCGGGUUUCGACCACGUUCGUGCUUAGGAUGCUGGCAUAAUGGCUUUAAGCGACCCGUCUUGAAACACGGACCAAGGAGUCUAACAUGCCUGCGAGUGUUUGGGUGGAAAACCCGAGCGCGUAAUGAAAGUGAAAGUUGAGAUCCCUGUCGCGGGGAGCAUCGACGCCCGGACCAGAACUUUUGGGACGGAUCCGCGGUAGAGCAUGUAUGUUGGGACCCGAAAGAUGGUGAACUAUGCCUGAAUAGGGUGAAGCCAGAGGAAACUCUGGUGGAGGCUCGUAGCGAUUCUGACGUGCAAAUCGAUCGUCAAAUUUGGGUAUAGGGGCGAAAG